AUUGAACGCUGGCGGAAUGCUUUACACAUGCAAGUCGAGCGGCAGCACGGGGGCAACCCUGGUGGCGAGCGGCGAACGGGUGAGUAACACAUCGGAACGUACCCUGUCGUGGGGGAUAACGAGUCGAAAGAUUCGCUAAUACCGCAUACGACCCGAGGGUGAAAGCGGGGGAUCGCAAGACCUCGCGCGACUGGAGCGGCCGAUGGCGGAUUAGCUAGUUGGUGGGGUAAAGGCCCACCAAGGCGACGAUCCGUAGCGGGUCUGAGAGGACGGCCCGCCACACUGGGACUGAGACACGGCCCAGACUCCUACGGGAGGCAGCAGUGGGGAAUUUUGGACAAUGGGGGCAACCCUGAUCCAGCCAUUCCGCGUGAGUGAGAAGGCCUCGGUUGUAAGG
Molecule: ribosomal RNA, 397 nt
Filed under: uncultured bacterium
Lineage: Bacteria
Description: bacterial SSU rRNA
Rfam family: Bacterial small subunit ribosomal RNA
Source: RNAcentral